Molecule: non-coding RNA, 282 nt
Organism: Pelobates cultripes (western spadefoot toad)
Lineage: Eukaryota; Metazoa; Chordata; Amphibia; Anura; Pelobatidae
Source: the annotation of a GenBank genome assembly
CCAAUGAGCAGUAAAUGCAUAAAUCCAAAAUAUUAUGCCGGUAAAUUCCUAAAAUUUGUAUAUCAUGCCACAUGUGCCUCCAAAACGCCUGCUAGUGCCAUGUGCCCUCAAACACCCUGCCAGUGGUACCUCACUGCCACCAGCCUCCCUGCGCCAUGUCUCUGCCCUUAGCCUCUCUGUGCCUUCUCUCUGCCUCUAGUGAGGGUGUCAGUGUGUGGGUGGGUGUCAGUUUGAGUGGGAUGGUGAUAGUGUAUGCAUGCUAGGGUGAUAUCUGUCACAUCC